UACGGAGGGGGCAAGCGUUGUUCGGAUUUACUGGGCGUAAAGGGUCCGUAGGUGGUUGUGUAAGUCUGGUGUGAAAUCUUCGCCGCUUAACGGGAAGAAGCCACUGGAAACUGCGCAACUUGAGUAUGGUAGAGGCAAGCGGAAUUCCUGGUGUAGCGGUGGAAUGUGUAGAUAUCAGGAGGAACAUCUGUGGCGAAGGCGGCUUGCUGGGCCAUCACUGACACUGAGGGACGAAAGCGUGGGGAGCAAACGGG
This 254-nucleotide ribosomal RNA is filed under the name uncultured bacterium. RNAcentral describes it as "partial 16S ribosomal RNA". It matches the Rfam family "Bacterial small subunit ribosomal RNA", at positions 524 to 776 of the family's 1533-position model. The record is from RNAcentral.